This 254-nucleotide ribosomal RNA is filed under the name uncultured bacterium. Its description in RNAcentral is "partial 16S ribosomal RNA". It matches the Rfam family "Bacterial small subunit ribosomal RNA", at positions 524 to 776 of the family's 1533-position model. The record is from RNAcentral.
UACGGGGGGGGCAAGCGUUGUUCGGAAUUACUGGGCGUAAAGAGCUCGUAGGCGGCUUGGCAAGUCGGGUGUGAAAACUUCAGGCUCAACCUGGAGCGGCCACUCGAUACUGCCAUGGCUUGAGUCCGGUAGGGGACCACGGAAUUCCUGGUGUAGCGGUGAAAUGCGCAGAUAUCAGGAGGAACACCGGUGGCGAAGGCGGUUCUCUGGGCAUUACCUGACGCUGAGGAGCGAAAGUGUGGGGAGCGAACAGG